CAACAACAUAACGUCUGGUGAUGAUGGCGGAGGGGAUCCACCCGUUCCCAUACCGAACACGGAAGUUAAGCCCUCCAGCGCCGAUGGUACUUGGGUCUAAGCCCUGGGAGAGUAGGUCGUUGCCAGGC
RNAcentral lists this ribosomal RNA (128 nucleotides) under Laceyella sacchari. The record is from RNAcentral. Lineage: Bacteria; Bacillati; Bacillota; Bacilli; Caryophanales; Thermoactinomycetaceae.